Yersinia ruckeri is the source of this 109-nucleotide non-coding RNA. The record is from Rfam. Lineage: Bacteria; Pseudomonadati; Pseudomonadota; Gammaproteobacteria; Enterobacterales; Yersiniaceae.
GAGGUUAAUGACAAAGUGCUCGCAGUGGUGCGCAAACAGGCAGAUCGUCAAGAUGUCGUGAAUACGUCCUGGUAGGCUCGUUCCGCGCCAUCCCUGGUGCGGACGCUUG